Molecule: transfer RNA, 71 nt
Filed under: Candidatus Pacearchaeota archaeon
Lineage: Archaea; Nanobdellati
Also listed under: 1 other name
Description: tRNA-Gly
Rfam family: tRNA
About the family: Transfer RNA (tRNA) molecules are approximately 80 nucleotides in length. Their secondary structure includes four short double-helical elements and three loops (D, anti-codon, and T loops). Further hydrogen bonds mediate the characteristic L-shaped molecular structure. tRNAs have two regions of fundamental functional importance: the anti-codon, which is responsible for specific mRNA codon recognition, and the 3' end, to which the tRNAs corresponding amino acid is attached (by aminoacyl-tRNA synthetases). tRNAs cope with the degeneracy of the genetic code in two manners: having more than one tRNA (with a specific anti-codon) for a particular amino acid; and 'wobble' base-pairing, i.e. permitting non-standard base-pairing at the 3rd anti-codon position.
Source: RNAcentral
GCGCCAGUAGUCUAGCGGUAGGACACAACCCUGCCACGGUUGAGACCCGGGUUCGAAUCCCGGCUGGCGCA